GUCUGAAGACAGCUCGGGUUUGUGGUCAACACAGCAGUGUGUGUGUGUGUGUGUGUGUGUGUGUGUGUGUGUGUGUUUGUUUGUUUGUUCCCUCUGCAAACUAGCCCUGACUAGGGUGAAGACAACUACACAAGUCUCGUUUCUAUCGGUGUCUGUGUGUCUGCCCUGUGCAGUGGAUUUACAGCUUUAAGCCCUGAACUAGCAACAUUGUCGGUGGUUGUCCCUUCACUGGAAAACCCCAACUUUACCAUAAUUCACUCUGUUUCUUCACGCAGAGAGAGACAGUUAAUUUGUUCCUGCAACCCAAAGAGACAUUAGCAGUUUCACCAGAUGUCCUUGCAGUGACUGAGAAACUAAAGCAGGCACAACGGUGAGCUCAUAAUAAACUCAUCAUCCUUCAAGACAUCCUUCAAGACUGUUACACCAUAGUGUGAAAUGUCUGCACUUCUCCGUCAUCAGCUGCUAUAGCAAAAUAUUUGGACAGUCAAGAAACAGCUCAUAAAAACUCCUGCUUGCUGACACAAACGCUUCCAGGAAGUAGGAUGUGUACAGUAUAUCCGGUCUUAAGGUACGAGCAUGAGGAAAGUAAAGAGGAUAAGUUAAAAGAGUUGAGGAGAAGGAGGAGACGAGAAGAAGAGGAGGUGUGUCAAGAAAAGUGGCUUACUGUGAGUGUUUCUCUGGCAGUGUCUUAGCUGGUUGUUGUGAGGAGUGAGAACGAAGCAAUCAGCAAGUAUACUGCCGCAGAAACUCGUCACCAUGCAAAGCCCGUCCAGUCGCAUUUGCAACACGUUCACCUAGAGAAAGAAGGAUCUCCAUCUUAUCCCAUCAGCCUCCAUUUCAGGACUGUUCAACACAGUGAUAUAUUUCUUAACAUUUGCACUUCAAUUUCUCAUUUCUUGUGUAUUUGUAGUGUUUCGUUCUGUAACAUAUUAUUAUUUUGUAUUGUGUUCUGUCAUUUCUAUGAGUCUCUCUUGUAAUAAAAUCAGCUGAAACAUGC
This is a long non-coding RNA of Ictalurus punctatus (channel catfish), 997 nucleotides long. RefSeq lists it as uncharacterized. NCBI's taxonomy places the organism in Eukaryota, Metazoa, Chordata, Actinopteri, Siluriformes, Ictaluridae. The record is from RefSeq and is a predicted model, not a curated record. The transcript has 4 exons.